RNAcentral lists this ribosomal RNA (295 nucleotides) under uncultured bacterium. RNAcentral describes it as "partial 16S ribosomal RNA". It matches the Rfam family "Bacterial small subunit ribosomal RNA", at positions 29 to 313 of the family's 1533-position model. The record is from RNAcentral.
AAUCAACGCUGGCGGCGUGCCUAACACAUGCAAGUCGAGCGCGAAAGCGGGGCAACUCGCAAGUAGAGCGGCGAACGGGUGAGUAACGCGUGGGUGAUCUACCUCCGAGUGGGGAACAACAUCGGGAAACUGGUGCUAAUACCGCAUGACAUCCUCGGGUCAUACUGAGGAUCAAAGCCGGGGACCGCAAGGCCUGGCGCUUGGAGAGGAGCCCGCGUCCGAUAGCUAGUUGGCGGGGUAACGGCCCACCAAGGCGACGAUCGGUAGCCGGCCUGAGGAGGGCGGACGGCCACAC